UUUGCAGACACACGGAAGUAAUCUGAAUUAUGUUAAGAUAUGCAAAUAGUUUUCUAUGGAAACUAGAAAAAGCUGCAAACUUUAAAUCCCAGAUGGAGUCCUUAUUAAGGAAACCUCAUACUUCUGAAAAUCCUAUUUCUCCAUCUGCUUGUAAUAUCUUUCAAGUGUCUCUCUAUAUAAUUGUACUGAUGAUUUCUCUGGGUCACAUUCUUUACUGUUUAUUACAUAAUUCCACUCCUUCCCCAAAAAUGCAAACAUUCACCUUAUCAGUCAGCAAGGACUAAAUUCAAUUUCUUUGCUGAUCUGAGCAGGAGAAAGUGAUAUAUUUGCGGCACUGCGGCAAAAAUUCCACCAAGGGAGCGUGCAGCUGGAAACUCACUUCUUCCUCAAACUCUCUGCAGAGAGAAGUAUUGUUCUGGGGACCCUGUCCCAUCCUUGUGGUCUGACUCAUUCUGACUAACUGAGUUUGAGAAAGCAUCAGCUAUACUCCUUUCUGGGAAACUGCAAAGGAACAAUCAUGCUCCAAAUAAAUACAAAUAAGUGAGCGGCAAGCAUCUGGGAAAAAGCAGUUUAGAGAAGUGAGAAAUUAUUUAUUGUCAUCCAGUACUCAGCUACAGAAUAAUUCUGGUUGUUAUCUUAUUUUUCUUUCCUGACCAAGGGAAUUAAGUUUAUAAGUUGUGAACCCAAGCUCAGUACAGGAUUUCAGAAAAUGAGAGGACACAUUUGGUUAAAUUUGUAUUUCAAACUGUUGUUUAGAGGUUUUUAUCCAGCCAUUUCAGUUUAAGAAUGCAAUCAAUUUCAUUGACUUCAGUACAUUCUUCAAGUGCAUUAGCUUAAGCCUUGGCUGAUUUACUUGGAGAAAUGUUAUGUUUUUUCAAACAACAUUCUUGCUUCUCUAUUUAUUUGCUUGCAUGUUCCUGAGAAGAUGAUACAAAAAACAGAGGUUCAUCCUCCUGAUAUUAAAAAACCCAAAUCAGUACCUACUAGAAACUACUUGCACUAGGUGACAACUUUUGAUAGGGAACGUUACAGACCUGUGGAAAUAAAAUAACUGCACCUGCCCUGAGCACGGCGAUAGAAGGAGGGUGCCAGCUGCUAAGGAGCCCUCAGCUUUUCCAGCUUUCAUAGGGUGCACGCAGGAGGUGCUGGCUGUUCACUGGGGAUCCCCCACUUGGAACUGUAGGUCGAGAUACUGUAUUUUUCUGGGUAUAAAAGCUGUAUUUCACAGUAAUGUUGUAAAGCCUGCAACCUCUGUAGUAGACAGAUGGUGUCAGUCUUGUAUUGAAGCUUUAUAAUUACUCUCCCCUGGUGCUCACUAGAACAUAAUAAAUUCGACUGUUCAGAUUUUUUUUUUUCACCUGUACUUGCCUAACGGAAAAAAAAAAAAAAAAAAAGAAAAAAAGAAAAAGAAAAAAAGAAAAGGAAGUGACUUGCCAAAAUCUGCUGUGAGCAGGUCACACAGACUGUCCUUGAAUUGCAGUUAGCUUUUGCAGACCAGAGUGCAAAAUCCGCAUUUCCUUAAAACUGAGAGCUCUUCUCUGAAAAAUUGCCUGAUCUGUCUGUCUUGAUUUCUUUGUCAGAAUGACCGACUCUUGCAGAAAUGCUUCUUAUCAGAGAGAGACACAGAAAAUAAAGAGUGCCUGCAAGACUUUAAAUGGACGAAACCUGCCCAGAAUUGGAAAAAAACAACAGCAGUGAAUGACAGAUCAUUUUAAGGCAGGCACCACUACCAAUAAAAAGAAUUCUCAUAAUAUGCAGAGCUACAACACAUUGCUGAAAUGAUAAUUAUUAUAUAAUCCAUUACUUAAUGCAAACAUUAUGAGCUUUUGGAUGAGCUGUAAAACCAAGUUCUUGGCCACGCUUAACCUUCAGAAGUGCUUUGGCACUUUGGCCAAGAGCUGGGGUGUUAACAAAAGGGCUCUGUCCAAAUUCCAUUUUGGUAACUGUAUUUUGCUUAACUGACAUUUGCAUGUAAUUUAGUUCUUAUAGUUAGAUACAUUAUUAUUCCUUGCUUGUCUCACACUGCAGUACAAAGCUGCUGUAUUAAGGGUUAGUGCUGUCUUGCCAGGGGUUUUGAUAAUCCAGAGACCAGCAAAGGGGUUCCUGUUAGUACCAGAACAGGGCUUGUGGUCAGUGUUUUGGAAGUUUGGAGUGAAAGUGCUCUAUAAAUAAAUGUCCAUAACCAAAACUCUGUUUCAAAUAUCACAGAUACCUUGGAAGCCUUGGUAUUUGCUGGUGAUGCUGAACCCCCGAGACUGUUGACAAUGUUAAGGGAGUUGGUUAGCAUCCCUGCUGAGCCCUGAACAAAUGAAAAAAGAGCACUGUGUAAUUUUGAGAGCCUUAUAAUUGCCACGUGAACUUCCAGGAUGGCUGGACCUUUACAAAGAUAUAAUGAAGGUGUUUUUAUUUUGAAACAGUGGACAUGUUUUUAUCAUGAAUUUCUUUGAUUAUUUUUGGAAGACAAGCUAAUGGACAUGAAUUUUGCUUGGUGUUUACACAAAAAAACAAAAAAAGAAGAUCAUCCUCGCUUUUACUAAGCAACUUCUUGUGGUAGUGGUGCAAGAGAUUUUAAGGUGUUUUUUUUCAGUUGCUUCUUUAUAUUUCUCCUAAUGGAUGGUUUUUCCCAUCUUCUAAUCAUGAUUGAGCAAAAAAAUCAUGAACCAAUAGGCUCAAUAUUUUUUUUUCCUGACAUCUGAAAAGGAUGGAAGAAAUAGCGUACUCACCACCAAGCGAUCAUACUGCCACUUACCACCUUAUCUUGUUGGUGAAGUCAGCACAGGAAAACUUUGCAGAAGAGGCCUCCUUUGCCAUUCACAAGAUGCAACAUGUAUGCAAGUGAUGAUGCAUCGUAUCACAUCCAAAAAUCAGCUGUGGUGGAGGAGCUGUAAUUUUGCAGAUUUCCAUGAGAAGAUGAAUCACAAUGGACUUGCUCAUGACAAAUUGCUGGGCUACAGAGCUGCGGGAAUCUGGCCACAUUACAGAGCACAGUGCCAAACCAAUUCUAGCCCAAACCAGAUGUACUGCCACUGCAGAAGACCUGACCAGAAAGAAGAAAAGAAAAAAAGGUAUGACAUUUUGCAUCAUGAAAUUAGCAGCCCAUUGGUUCAUCAUCCAUGUCUGGAACUACAGCUCUGCCUUUCAGUUGUGUUGCUGGAGAAGUGGAUCACACACCUCCUGAAAAAGCAGUGCAAAAUUGGAUGAAAUAAUGCAGUGAAACGAGUGAAUAGUAAGUCUGUAUUAGUGAGUAUUGUUUCCUCUGGUAACUGGUCUGGCCCAUGGGAAUACUGAGUUCCCAGUGAUCCCUGUGAACAUCAUACCUCUCUGUCUCCCUAAAGAACACCCACAAAUUCCUUAAGCCAGAUAAAUAAAAGGAAGUAAAGCACAUAACAAUAAAGUACUUGGCCUCAUUACUGUAUACCUUAACUCACUGUUAGGCAUUCAAAUGCUGUGGAGAGACUUCCAAAACCACUAGUAUGCUGAGUGUACUGCAUACUGCAGGGCAUGCUGAGGAUGGGAUCAUGUCUAAAUCCAGAUGCUUAUUCUGCUUUUAUAGAAAUACACACAAAUUUGCUCUGGAGAUAAACAUUUUUCUUUCUACACAUGCAUGGAAGAGGAGGCGUAACAACAAUUAACUACAGCUUUAGUCCAGAGAGUUGAAGACUUUAGUUGUAUUGUGUCAGUAGUUUGUGGUGGUUUGAACUUCCACUUCUCUAGCGAAAGGCUUUUCUGUAGCUUGCUGCCUGUGGUAUAAGGAAAUGUUUUGCCUUGAACCCAGUGAUAUGUUUAGUCUGAGGAAGCUUAAUGUUAGAGGAAGUGGUUGGGAUUUAGGCAUCCCUCUCCCCUUGGGAGUAGGUAUUACUGAGACUGAGAAAUCAAAUUCCACCAACAUCUGAGUCUUAGAGUGUAGUAGACUUUCCUUAGCUCACAGACUCUAGGAGAGCUGGGCCCUGCUGAUACCAAGAAGGGUCAUCAUUUAGCAAUUGUCCACCCAAAAAACGACAGCAAAAAAUCCAAUCACAAGCCACAUGGCAAGAAGAAUUUUAUAUAAGUGAUAAGUCUCACUUCAGCAUGUUCCAGUAGGGUUUGUGAGUGGAUGACUCUGACCAUUUCUUUCAUAGGAAUCAUCUUUAGUGUUUACACAACUGUUUGUUUUAUGCACCUUGUUUUUCACACUUAUUGGUAAAGUUUAAUAAUAGUAUGCUGUAAGAGUGCAUGGAAAAUCUGAUUACUGAAAUUUCUUACUCAAGCAAAUUUUAGCUUUUAAAAAAGAAUUGUCUUUUCAGGGCUUUGUCAUAAAUGUUUUUCUCCUUUUCAAAGUGAGGGUGAUAUUAUUACCUAGUAAAACCAGAAAGUGGGACAAAAUGCUGUGCAACUGAAAAAUGAGAUUAUGAGUCUCUAGGAAAACUCAAUGUUUUCCUGUCUUUCUGUGUUGUGGUUAGACAGGAAGGCUGGUGGGCAGGUAUAUUUUCAUCAGGAAGGUAUAUUUCCAUCAUAGUCUCUGUGAUGCUCAUAUUAACAAUCACGAGAUCAUUAAAAUUAGAAUGGUGAGAGAAAUCAGAGCAUUACUCUUCAUGUUGACCAUGGAGCUGCUGCUUACAAAACAAAUACUCUGUCCUAAUAGACCAUUAGGUACACCAGAAGGCAACCAUAGUAAGAUUUGCAGAACAGACAGGCAACAGUAUUGCUCUUAAACCAAAUGUGAGCAAGGGUAAGAAACCUGAGUACAGAUAGGAGCAAACAGCUGAAUAACCAAGAAGAAAGGAAAAUGAAACAACACAAAAACAAGGAUGUGGAAGUAUUAUUCGGUGUAUAUUUAGUGUAAGUCUCAGUGCAAAUCACUUGGCUUAUAAUGGAGGUUGGCAAACCUUCUAAAUUAUGAACCAGAGUAUUCAAGACACCCUUUGUAAUUAUUUCCAUCAAUACUAAAGAGAUACUAGAGUGACAUUGCUCUGUCUGAUAAAUGUGGAUAAUUCUUAAAGGAAUAUUGUUUAUCUGGAAACUUGUUAAAAAGUAUUUCUGCUUUUUAGUUGUGUGUUGUUGCUUAUAACUGAAAAAGUCCUCAUUUAAAAAAAAUACGGAUCAAAACUCAUUUUAAGUUAUGCAAACACUGUUUCUGUCAUUUGAGUUCAUGUAACAAAAAUCGAUUCUGAAUUUUUUGGCAGAAACCCAGAAAUAAUUACUUGAGUUUUACACACACAUUUUCAAGAGUCUUAUCUGGCAUCCAUAAAUAUCAGUGGAAAUUUAAUUUUUGCAUGAAAUUGUAUUACACUGUAUCCAUGUAAUAUUUUAAAACAUGCCAAAGGCUGUUGGAGUGCAUUUUACGACUUUUUGGCAAUACUGCCAAUCUCAAUAAAAUUAAAAAAAGAAAAUACGGAACCAUAUUGGAGGCUGUUUUCAAUAACAAAAAGUUGUUGUCAGCUUGUUGUGGAAGAUCCUGUGGAAAAACAUGAGCAAUGCUUUUCAAGUGGUUACUGAGUUUGAAGUUUUAGUAGGUACUGAGGGUUCAAAUUCAGAUCCAAACUUAGUGAUGCAGAAUCAGCUUUGCCAUAAAUUCAAGUAUACCAAGGUCCAAGAAGGUUUAGUCCUAAUUCUAAAUAUCAGAAUGAAGGUGCAUCUUUAAGCUUGAUAAAGCUCCUAAGGUCUGGUUAACAUUGCGCAGUGCUGUCGAGAGGGAGUGACUUCAUAAAAUGCACUAAUAGAAAAAGGUAAACUGAAUGAGCUAACAUAAAAUCAGUGUAAUGGCAAGAGAAUUGGGUGCUUUUUUACAUGAAGGUUUAAAUAAUUCAUUUUCUUCUUCUUCCAUUUUUGACAUCUCAGCCCAGCUCAGGCAAAAGUGUGGGCUGAGAAGACAGCUACACUAGGUAGGCAGCCAAUUAGAACAAACUUUCAUAAAAGAGCAGGAUGAUUUUUCAGGACAGGCGUCGUUUUUUCUGAGCACCAAUAUAACUUCCUAAAUGUCUCACAGAUGCAGACUGAAAGAAAUUGCAUCCCCCUUCCAGUAAAAAUAUCUUAGCCACCUCAAAGAAGAGACCAUCUGGAGGCUUACUCACUUUGGGGGAUGCUGAUUUAAUUGAGUGAAAGUCCAAAUAACUCUUUAGGAAAGACAUGCUGAGGAACAGCAUGAUUUAAAGUAAUGUAUCUCCAAAAGAAUUUGCUUAAGUAUUAUUAUUACCUAAUCAGCUGUAUUAUCACCAUACUUGGGAAGCCUAGUCAUAGACCAGAGAUCAUUUUGAAGGACUGUAAAAAGGAAUUUAAUGAGUGCUGUUAUUUGUAUUACACUAAAAAGUCUGUCAAAAUCCUGUAAUGUUUCAAAAAUAAAAUCAAUACUGUUAGUUACAUUUUGCCCUGGCAGCCCCAUUUUCAGACUAGUUUAAGGUAGCUUUCAGGCAGUUUAAGAAAUGUUUAAGCUUAUUUUCAUGUAGUUUAAGAAAAUAAUAUUCACAAAGCCUCUGAAAUGAUCUCUGAAUUAACAUAUAUGACUCCCAUUAAAAUCAGCUGAAAGUUUCCAACCAAAUUUCUAUAUGCUGGUUUGAAAACCAAAGGGCUUCUUUGAAAACCAGAAGGCUGAAAAGUCACAGUAUUACAGAUUUUUAUCCACAUGAUUUUCAUUAAGUUUAAUGUAAGUCAUACAGGCAAACAAAAUGUUUCUAAGAGGGGUUGGAGGAUGAAACAUACAUCAGGCCAACCAUUGGUCAAUGCUGGGGCCGAUACCUCUUAGUCCCUUCAUUAAGAAUCUGGAUGAUGGGACAGGAUUCACCCUCAGCAAGUCUUCAGAUGAUACAAAACUGGGAGGAGUGGUUAAUAGACUAGGUGGAUGUUCUGCUAUCAGAGGGACCUCACCUGGUGAAAGAAAUGGACCAAAAGGAACCUAACGAACUUCUGGAAUGGGGAAAUGCCAAAUCCUGUACCUAGAAAGAAAAAGCCCAAGUACCAGCACAGACUGGAGGCUGACCAACUGGAAAACAGAUUGGCAGAAAGUCUCAGGUGUCCUUAUAGAUACCAAGCUGAUCGUGAGUCAUCUAUGUGUCCUGGGAACAAAGCAGGACCUGGGCUGCAUUAGGCAGAGUGGUGCCAGCAGAUUAAGGGAUGAUUGCCAGCUUUUCAAGUGAAGAGGUAAAUGAACAUGAACACCCUCGUGUUCAAAGAGGUGACUCCAUCUGCCUGGAGGAGAGUCUGAGCUGUGACUGAAAUGGGCAGCACAGACAUCCACCCAAGAUCCUUGGGAAUAACAUGAGAUUACCAGUUCUCUGGUUUGUAGCUUUCCUGGCCGUGUUUCUCCUGGCUUUGCUGGUUGAUGUUGGGAACUGCUCUGCCUUUUCAGACCUGUCUACAUGUUCAGAGAUAUAUUUGGCUGAUGAGUUUUGACAGUUUUUCUACUUCAAAGUGGCGACACUGUGUUGAGGGGGAGCUGAGAUCCUUCAGUUCAGAAAUCUCCAGUACCAUUUAGACAAUUUACAGAUCAUUCCUCAGAUUUCUGUCUUCAGCCUGGAAUCUCAUCAGCCCUGAGUACUGUAGAUCCCUUGUGCUUGCAAUCUCUGUGCCAAGAACUGACAGUGUAGGAGACAGACGACUGUCUUCAGAAGACAGCCUUCUCACUGACUGCUAGGGCAGGAUCUAUGCUUUGAAUUUUUUUUCUGCUUGGCCCCUGCUAUUGCCACCUUGGCUUUUUGCGUAGUAUGAAAGGAGUAAAUUUUACCAUGUCACCUAUUAUACAUAUUCUGUUUUUCUAGCCUGAGACUUCUCUUUGCCCUUUGAUUUUUUUCUUUGCGCAACAAUUCCUCUUUCGUUUGUUUUACUCUGGGUAAGUUGAAUUGAUCCUCUCCUAUUGACUGGAGAUUUUUACAUCUCAAACCUCAGCCGUCCUCUAAGCCCUCCCUUCCCUCAUUGUUACAGUGGAAUUACUUAUCUACAUCUAUUUACUCUUUGAUUCUAGUGGAGCUGGGAAUGUUAAAAACUGGACAGAUUGGGUCAUUUCCAAUUCAUGUGAACUUCAAAUAAAUGAAAUUUAAAAACCUAAAUAUAUUUCAGGGUCUAUGUCUUAUAGCUUCUGGGUGAUAUCUGUAACUGGAUUAGGAAAACAGCCUUAAAAGUAUAUUGUGGUGUCAAAUUGUAUUUUUAAAAAAAAAAAAAAGUUUCAUCCCACAGAUUGUAAUAGCCUAGCAGUUAGCAUAAUUGGGAAUUAAUGGAGAAAAGUUCAGUUCUCUUUGCUGCCUGAGAAUGUCAAAACCAAGGAUAGGCAUCAGCUCCUAAUGGUUGCUGUGAGUAGGACUCUUUCUUACAUUAAAAUUGCUGCAAAGAAAAUCAAUAAUAUUUUUCCCAGUGAGAGAAGACUAACUCUGUAAAAUGGAUUAGAGCUUCCAAAUGGGGGAGGAGAGCUUAGACUGGGCCCAGUAGCUGAAAUCCCUCUAUUACUGGAUUGUUUUCUGCAGCAAUCUGAAAGCAAAGCCAAUUUUGCUCUAGACUUUUAGGUUUUGCAGCCUUCUAGUCUUUCCAAGAUUGGCCUGUUCAAAAGGAGAAAUCGCUCAACUCCAGACACAUAUGGCUCAUAGUACCUUUGCUUCUCCCUUUUGUAUUCUUCCGAUCAUUGAUUUGUCUUUUUAUUACUUGAAUACUUUCAAGAAAGAACUGUGAUGUCUCCUGUGUCCUGUACACAGCCUACUACACAGUCAGUAUGGUGGGAAACAAGCAGAACUAAGAAUACAUCUCAGAAAAAAUCAAAGCACAGCGUAUCUGAGGUCCACAGGUGCACCCUCCUUUUCCUCAGCCUGGCUCCCUCACAAACUGGAAAAUUGCUGCUGUGUCCAUGUGCUCUGCUGGAUGGAUGCAGUCCUAGUCUGUAGAACCAUUUAGAGCAUAAUAAACACCUUCCAAAGAAAACCUGGAUACACAGGUGGGAGGUUACAUAGCAAGGUCUUAUCUUGACCUGAAGACCAGAAACAAGGAAGUACUAUCCUUCCAUCUAAACUCAAAAUUGUAUUUUACUGAUGGACUAGUGAAGCCAAAGAGCUGUGUCACCUGUCAAGAUGUCUCUUCAGGUGCAUUGAAUGGCUGCAAUUUAAAGGACAGGUAUUUUUCUUCUUUAAGCUUGCACAGAAUUUGUAAAACCUAUAACAGUGGCAAAUCAUUUAUAGAUUGAGAAGGAAAGAAGGAAGGAAACCACUCCAAAAAAACAAGCAAAGUCAAGUGGCAGAGCAAGAAGCAGGUGGGAAUGAGGGAGAGGGAGCAGUGAGAGUGAAAAGACAUCAGAGAGGGAAAAUUAUACAUCAAAAAGCAGGGGUGAAUUGAGGAAGGAGGAAAUGGGGAGGAGGUGCUUGCAGAAAAGGAGAAAGGGAGAUGGAAACAAACAGAGAAGGAUAGUAGGGUAUCUGGAACAUGAAAGGAGAAGAGGAAAAUGAAGGAAGAAGGUGACCAAAGGGAAAGAAAGAAAGAAGAAAUACGUGCUGGAGGCCGACCAAAGGAAUGAGAGAAUCUUGAAGCAAGUGGAUGUAUGGAGAGAAGGAGGCAAUCACAGGAAAAGAAGGGGUGUAAAAUGAGAAAGUGAGCAAUGGAAGCAUGAAGAGAGGAAGAAGAAAAAAGGUGUCGUGAAACAGAGCCUCUACAUCACUUGGUGGACUUCCAGAUGUCAGAAUUAAGCCUCUCCACUGAAGUUCUGUCCUUGGUCACAGCAUGAGAUUGGGAUCAUGGUCAACUGGUGCCAGAUUCAGCUGUUUCAGAAACACAUGACAGGGAAGACCAAAGGGUCAGGAUUAGUUUCCAAUGACUGUACCAGUAAGUCUUCUUCCACUCCCCAAACCUCUGGCAUUUCAUACAGUUUGCCUCUUGUUUCACUUUUGCCUUAACAUUCAUUGCUGGAUCUCUCAAGUCAAAACACUUUGAUGCUCUGAGCUCGUCCUUCUGAUAUCCUGCAUCACAGUCAUCCCCAUGGUGCCUCCAGCUUUGCCCGACAUAUGUAGCUUCUUGCUCUCCUAGUUGUAGUGAGCAUGCUUGGGGUCCUGGAGAGAGGAAACUGCCUAUCUCUGCUGCUUGUUCCCAGCUCACCUGCAGGUAAGAGCUAUAGAACAGCCCCAAAAAAGGAGAAAUCUGCUCCUUUUGACACCUCUGGAAAAGACUCUUGAAGUGAUUUCAUACUUCAAUGCAAAGUAGUAAAUGUAAUCUUGUAAGUAUGCUUUUUACACUGUGUGCUCACACCCACUGGAUCAGGCUUCUCAACCAAGAGAGACAGAGAAUAUGCCCUUUAGCAAACAUGAUCAUGCUUAUAAAUUAGAUUGACUUUGAAUUCUCAGUCCAUGUCAGCACUAGGGGUGCACACAACUACAGUUUCAGUUUUCCAUGGAAACCAGGUUAAAAAAAAGGAAGCUGUAUAAAACGUUAAUGUACUCUUCAUUCUUGGACCCAAAUAUACAUGCCUAUGAAUGUCUAUUUCUGAGCAAGUUCCAGUUCCCAGCCAGAAGUCGUUGGUUCUAGAGUUAUAAUGUGACCGAAAACUUAGACUUAGUUUUGUUUGGUAUUUGUAAGACUGGAUUUUUGGAAUUGCCAAGCAUUUCUUUCCAAUUUUACUUUUUUUUUCCCUUAGUCAGUGGAAUUUAAUGAAGAUGUAUCCAAAAGCAGAAUUUUAACUGCCCUGUAAUUAUUCUGACAUAGUAGCAAGAAACUUGAUUUUAUUGUAUGGUUCCAUUUGUAAUUACAAUAUAAUUAUUCAUGUGUAAAUCAGAAAUAAGUGUAUUUUAAUUGUAAGUUGGUUUGGGAAUUUAAAAUGAAUCUUUUGGUGCUGUGUGAGGUAUAUACUGAAACACUAAUUCUGAAUAUUUCAGAACUCAAUAGGAAUAGAUAUGUAAUUUGAGUAUAUGGAGCAGUGUAGAGGGGUUUUUUUAGAGUUAAGUAACUACACAGUAACAAACAUGUACAGUAUCUACUAAUCACAUUCUGAAUUUCUUAAAGAAUAAUUAGUGGCAUUUUCUACUUUGUAAAGUAUUUAUUUUCAUCCUUAUGUUUUCCCUGUCCUUGUAUCUAUUCUUGAUGACAAUUUCAUAUUUGAGGGUUAUUUUAGGUAAAGGAAGUGAAUUGCCUGAACUUUCAGGUUAUUAUUUGAAAAUAAUUGCAAGAAAAUAACAAUAAAUAUUAAGCUUUUGUAUGCAACACCUUCAGCUAGGCUAUACAUACCUUCCUCUACUAUCAAAGUCCUGUCCAGGUUGAUUUCUGAUGAGUUAAAUCUGUGUCCAGGAUCUCCAGACCGUUUAUCUGAGGAUGACCUUAGAAAGGGGAGGGCUCACCUGGAGGCAGAAGUUGAUGAGAAUAUACUGACUCAUGACAGUCAACUGGGGGAUAAUAAAUGGGAAAUAAAUGAACGGCACCAUUUGGGAGAUGGGAACCAGGGUGAGAACACUGAGCUGAGGGUCUGAAGCUCAGAGGUUGCAGGAGAGGAAACAGAAAUGGGGAAUAGAGGGAAAUUUAAGGUCUAGGGAAAUACUUGAUAAAGGGUUUGGAGAAGAAUGGUGGCAGAUGGGAGAGUUUGCAUUCAAAAAGGAGUAGGAAGGCCUUAUUUCUCUUGUUUUGGGGUUGCAAGGACUGAUUCUGUAGGAAAAAAAGAGAUUGGGUUGGUAAAAUGUAUGGAAAAAUAAUUGUCAAAGAUGAAGUAAAUAUAAGCAAGGAGAGCUGGGAAGGAAGAUGAGUAGCUUUGGUACGGGAGUUUGUAAUGGCAGAGACCUUGGGAAAGGCCAAUGUGGGAGGGGUCACUUGACACAAAAUGUGUUUGGAGGAGUUUUUAGGCAGGAGGGACUGGGGGAUUUGAGACCUGGGACAGAAGGGCCUAAGGAUAGUAGGGUGUGAGGGGCAGGUUAGGGUUACCAGUCUGGUAAAUAUUAUUAUCUGGGCCCUGACAAAUAUUUUUAUCUGGUCCUGAUGUUAGAGCAAAGGCAUGUACACAGAAAACUGCCUCCCUGUUCCUGUGCUAAGAACAGCCCUUCCCUUAUUUUCUGUUUGUAGCAAUUGCAGUAGGCUUGUUUGGACUAAAUAACCCAGAGAAUAGUCAUGUAGUCAUGAAGGAUAUGAAUUCUGAGUGAUCCAGGGAAUUAUUGUGCAUUAUGAAAAUUCACUACAUGAAUGUUGAUUUGAGAGACUGAAACUUAAUGUUUCUGAACUUGUUUCACACCAUAAGUGUGCCUAAUAAAUCCAAGUUUAAAACCAGACACUCUUCCACACAAUGACAUACAUCACUUUCAUAUUAGCUGUUUCCUUAAAUAUCUCUGUAGGAAACUGGUCCUAAAUCCUUCUGUGAGAUCCAAGAUCCUUCAGUAGAUGGCCAGGUAAUCCUUCUCUCCAUAUGCUGUGAGCACUGAAUUUGCGUAAGUUUAUAGCAGCACCCAUCAGUGUUCUAUGGUAGCUUUAGUCUGCUUUUCUUUUUGGAUAGGGCAACACUGAGCACACUUGAAAUCCUGUCCAUAAUGCACGGUUAUUUACAAACCACUUGAUACAGAAGUCACAGCACAUAUUUGUGCUGGCUAACAAUCCUUCGUCAAUGAUGGAUGAAGAUCAGGUGUCAUUUCUGAUUCUUUUGGAUGUGUCAGCUGCCUCCAGUACUAUUGACCAUGAACUGACCUGCACUCUGUCAGUCUGGAAGCAAGGGCAAAUGGGAUGAGUUGUGAAGCUCAGAGUCAUGCACAGCUUUGAGCCCUGAAGCAGCCUGUCAGUGGACUGAGGAAGGGAUCUCUUCUGUGUUUAAAAAAAACUCAGCUGAUUCUUUAUUUCACAGUGGGUUUUUUUUAAUAUGUUUGCCUAUUAGCAACUUGAUUAUACAGCUUUAGCAUUUAUCUAGGUCUCUGCUUGCUUGUAUCAUAAAUGUUAAUAAAUGUUGUAAGCUUUUAUGAAAUGUUUUCUACUAAUGUUUUCCCUCACAGUCUUUUGCCUUUAGCUCAAGCUUCCUCCAACUGCUUCAAAAAAUAGAUGAAAAAAGCUGUACUGCAUAUAGCAUGCUCAGAAAUGUCACCCACCCCCUUACCUUCCCCCAACAAGCAGCCAAACAAGCUUGUCUCUGUUGAACUUGGGGGUAUGAGGCAGGUUUUAUAAUUAAAGAUGGAGACAAUUCUGCUAGAUAACUCCUCUUGUUGGCUCCACUGCCUGCAUCUCUGCUAUUCUAAGCUGUGAGAUGUUGCAGCAUACUAAUUUCCUCCAUUCAGUCAGAAUUUGGGUUAUACACAGCUCCAGGGAUCUCUUUCAUACUAGAUAUUCCAAUUGAAAUGACAGGGGAAGAGAGAAGGGAAGGCUAUACUUUUCUAUCUUCAUUUCUUUAUUCUGUGUGGGGCAGCAGAGAUAUUACCUCAAGUUGCUUCCAGGUUGAAGACCCAAAAUCAACAGUCUGAAGUUCACCUGGAACCAGUUGCUAACCACUCAGAUGUGGGUUUGUGCACUGCCAGUGUGUAUAGCUCUGCUCAGGAAACCUGUGUGAGCCAUCAGUCAGAGCCAGUAGGUGAGUUCAGUAUCUAGGGACAUAUAGAGAACUCUGCAUCCCAAGGUGAAAAAGUAAUGAGUGGCAUCAACACACAGUCUGAAGGGAGCCAACUUCUUGGUCCAACUCCUAUGGCAAAGCAAGUUAUGCCAUGUCAGCUCAACUGUGGGAGGAGUCUGUGUUUAAACUACUAGCCAGGUGCAAAUAUGAGAUAGAUACAAACUUCUCCACCCUGUAUUUACUGCCCUCAGAUAUACAAUUAGUCAGAGAGGCAGGUAAUUAGGUGGAGAUACAAUUAAAUCGUUAAUAGCAAAUGCAAAUCAGUGCAACACGGGCAUCUUGGCUGAGCACUGUGAAGACAGGAAGUUUUGCCUUUUACAAAGAGGCACAGUAGAGGGAUUUUCUUUUUCUUUUAAAGAUCCAGUUACAUGUCAGCGUAACUCUAUGGUUAGAUGUGGCCUAUGAAAUCCUACUUUAGUAAGACACAGUUAAAUAUGUGUCCUUCACCAAGGGAAAUAAGCUGUUCCCUCAUGAAUUGCAUACAUUAUAUUAAUUUCUCUAGUCCUUUGCUGAAGAGAGAAAAAUGAACAAAUAAUAAGGUAGUUAAUUACAAAAUUCUGACAUUUGUCCACUUGUUGUUGCUGUUUUUGGCCCCUCUUCAGCCAAAGAAAGAUGCGAGCGCUGGAAAGCAGAUGAAUUUCCCUGGGGGACCUAAACUAGUGCUGUGCCACAGCCAACAGCUUCAGCCAUUUGGACAAAGUGCUAUGUUGUGUCUUCCAGAAACUUUUCCCAGGCCUUCAUAAUAUUUGAUGAUUAGACCAGGAUUGUUUACUGUAGGGUGGCAGCCACACUCAGUACAAGCUUGUUGCUUUAUUCUGCACUGGCUCAAUCUGUUUGUGCAACACUUUACAUGUGGUGAUAAAGUCAGUGAAACAUUGGCCAUGGUGUAGUGUUAUUUACCAAACUAAUAAUGUCUCUGUUUUGCUCUUUCCAAAGUACUGAGGAUAGAUGGAUUUCAACCGCCUUGUAGUUUAAAAGCAAGAAAAUUACUAUGUGUAAUCAAUUACUACUAUCUGGCCUCAAAUCUGCUUUGUAAAUCUUAUAAAUCUCCACCCCAGUCUUUGUUCAUCACCAUCCCCAGUCUUCUCCUCCAUCAGCUGUUAGUCAGCACUUCUCUGUUUCUUCUUUAAGUUAUCUACCCAAUGUGCCAGAGGCAGGUGCAGGAGACGAGCACAGCUGCCCAUGAUUGUUUUAACAUCAGUGCUGUGUUUUCCAGUUGUAAAGUAUUUCCAAAGUUUGUUUUCCUCGAUGAAAUGAAAACAACAAAAAAAAACCAAACCUGUUUGUAUUCCCAUGAACUAGUACCCAACUAUUUUUAAACCUAACUUUCACUUAUGGUUUUCAUCUUAAGGCUUCAGUUAACUGUGUUGCUUUGUUUUAGUUUUGUUUUUCAUUGUUCUAUAAUCCUCUGUGGUUUGGUACAACAGGGAUUGAGUUUCAUUUGCGCAGCAAGUUAUACAGGGAGUAUUACCACAGCAACUAAGAUCCUGAUUUAUAAGACAAAACAGAGCUGCCCCCUCUAUUCAGACAAGAUUUACAGGUAUUUUGCUAAUCAUACAUCCAGAGUUGCUUUGAUUUCCAAAUGAAGUGCUGCCUAUACUAUUAAUAGGGCUGUCACCUUGACUUGUGUAAACUCACCCAGCUGUUUUAUGUCAACGAAGUGUUGGCUUUUCAAUUUCAAAGUUUCCUGCUCUCAUCUUCAUUUGCUCUGAGCAAAAGCACUACCCUAGAAAUUAUUACAUUAAAUGUAAUUGCACCUCAGUCUGGCAGGAUCAGUAUAACUGUCCCUUUGAUUUUGUUCUUUGGGUAACAGCCAGGUAGUACUUUUUCCCUGAGAAAGGAUUUUGCCAUUAAGGAUAUAAGGAUGUUGUUCUGGCAUGAGCUUUUAUCGUCACUUUGCCUUUUUUUUUUUUCUGUUGGUUGGGUGCUUUGUUUGGGUUUGUGUGUGUGUGUAUUUUUUUUUAAUGUCUAAUGUAUGGUAUUCCAUGUUACUAUAUAGCCAGGCAAGAAAAAAAUCCCCUCCACAACACCAACAUAAGUCUAAGAUGACAGGUUGAAGCCCUGAUCAGUUUCAAAUUUUCUGUCAUGCAAAUCAGUCCACACAGUCUCUGUCUUAGCUCCUGAACUGCAAAACAAUGCUUAUUACAGUGCUACUUCUUCUACUCCAUGCCCUUGUAUGCCAUUUUCAGGCUAUGAAAUCUUCAGUUACCCUUCCCUAGUGCAACCAUGGCAAGGGCUUGAAUGAUAUCAGUGUUGGUGCUGGGAGCUUAUGUGGAUAUCCCUAUCACAGCAGGAAAAUUAGCCCAUACCAUGUCUUGAUUAAGCUGUGUGCAAAUCCAGGAGAUGUUAGACAGUUGUGUUGGUGGGUUGUUCUUGUUUAAGAAGUUGUUGUUGUCUUGUUUAAGAAGUUGUUGCCAUAUUCUCCAGGGAAUACGUGGUGAGCACGCUGAUGUGGCAUUAGCAGUAAUACAUCCUGAAGCUUGAAACACCAUGGGGAACUUAAAAAAUCCCCUCAUAUCAGAAGUGCCAAACGCUUUCUUAAAUAAAGACUACAUUCUGGCCUCACAUGCACAAAACCUAUUUCUAGCCCUCAAAGAUGAUGAAAGUCACAAAGACUUCACCCUUUUAACUGGAAUAAAAAAUUCUAGGAGUUCAUUGGGAUGAACCCUUCCAACUCAGGACAUUCUAACCUCUCAACUCCAAAACUUUCUUCUGGUUUGAGGCACUUCUCAUUAAAAAAGUAGCAAGAAGGAUUACAAAAGUAAACUCCUCUGUAAAGACUGUAAAAACAAUGCCCCAGUUGCAAAUGAGUUGCAAAUAUUGCAUUUGCAAUAUAAGCAAAAUUCAGCUCAUAGCAAAGACAUGCUAUGAGACUGCACCAGCUGAGAGCAUGCAGGAUGGCUACAGGCAGACUAAAGGUGUUUGGGGUGAAAAGUCCCUGCCCUUGAACUCACAGAGUAUUGCAUUUUCUACGUCUACGGGAAAAGGAGAGAUUGUGCCAUUCAUGAUCUACCUUACCAUCAUAAGAACACCUAGUCCAGUUUGACUAAUGAUAGGCUCUAUGUUAUGAGUAUCCUAUGUAAAUAUAGGCGUGAACUUCAUCAAGUCCAGACUUAUCUCAUGUGUAGGAUGGUGAGCAUAGACUUAGGAAAUGUGAAGUGAGAGCCAAGCAUGUAUAGACCUGCUCUGUACACAGAUCAGGGUGCUGUGUCAGCUCAGCCUUGAUUGUACUGCCCCUGUGCCUUUGUGUUGGUGUCAUGUCAUGAUGGAGAGGUGAUUCCUGGAACAAGAGUCCUGGGUCUUCUAUCAUGUAGACAAUUAACUUUUCUUGUCCUUGUGUUGAGAGUGCUUAUCUGUGGUCUGAGCCAGAUAUUUUCCAGACACACAGACUGGAGAGUGCACUGGCUUGUUGAUGGCCAGGGUAGUGAACAUGGCUUUCUGGUAUGAGAAUCAUAACACUGAUUGAUAAAACCUGGGUGAACAUUUUCUAUGGGUCAGUUACAAUGCCUUUGAAAUUAGAGGCUGGACCUGUAUUCAAAACACACAUACGUGGACACCACUUUGUUGAGAGUAAAGCUGUUUAAAAGGAGCCAAGAGUGAUUUGUUUGGUUUUUUUUUUAUUGCCGUUUGAAUUUUUAAAAUCCUUACUGGGUCUUCCUAUGCAACAGAAGUCUUAUAACUGAAGUGACAUAACAACAAUAAAGAGCCUAAGAAAAGAAAGGACUGUUAGCACCAAGGCUAAGAGUAAAAUUCUAUAAUAUGAUUUUUUUUGUUUGCUCAUUUGUUAGAUAACAUAUCUGUAAUCCUCAGCUUGCUGAUAACUUAGACCAGAGUCAUGAAUUCUCUUUAAAACCAGUGCAUUUUAGUUAAAGAACCUCUUAAUGUCCAACACAGUGGUAUUUCCAAGAACAGAUCAGGUGAGUUUCUGUGUUAAUUUACUAUUCUCAGUCCACCAAAGGCCAGUCACUGAUUAAACACGCACAGAGGACUAAUCAAUAAAGAGCCAUAACUUUGAUCUAAUUGGUGCUGAUUCUGAUUACAUAAGUUAAUACUCUUAAUGAAACAUGGUUCUCUUGACUUUUCAGUUUGAAAUCCUGUGUUUGAAAUGGUUGCUUAUUAAAAACAUUAUGAAAUAGCAACAAGAAGUUGCUCUUAUUUACUUGUUUCAAACGCUGCAAUAGCAUGCUCUUCUUAACUGGUGUAAGUUUUUGUUUAGAGCUUUUUACAUGUGACCCAGAAAUUAUGCUUUGAUCUUUCUGUAAAUAGUAAAUGGCAUGAUUUCCUAAAGAUACAGUUUACAUCUAUUUUGUAAUGUUAAAGAGGGCAAGUUGGUGCCCCAGUGUCACAAGACAGGAUUGCUGAAUUCUCUGGUGCCAACUUCCAGCUUCAGCUGAUGUAAGAGGAAGCAAAGAAGAGCCAGCACUGGGCAUCUGUGUGCUGUCAAUCUGCUUUGACGCCGUCUCAUAGAUGUGUAUUUUGUUUUCUUGCUGUGCAGUCGAGCAUACCUGUCCACUAGUACUGAACACUUUCUGAUUUCAGCUGUUUAAAUGGUUUUUAAAAAUGGGAAGUCAGCCCUCACCCACUCCCCACCGUAGCUCUAAGUGCUCCUGCAUUGAGAAGUGUAUCAGUUACCUCUUUAUAGUCUUUGUAAAUAUCAGUUGAAACAAAUGAAUCCUUCACUGGUUUCAAGCUAUCUGCUGUAAAGGAUGCGAAGUUGUCCCAGGGUCUCUUUGAUGAUGUCUGCUGUGGAGAGCUGAAAUGUCAUUGAAUUAGAGGAUGGAAACAGAAAUUCACCCUUCCUAGCCAGGAAUAAUUUUAGUUUGUGUUGACAGACUUUAUACCUUGCUAAUCCUUUCCUUCUAGUAUUCCUGUAGUUUGGGAUGGGUUAAAUUGUUCUCCAUUAAAAAAUAAAAAAAAAUAUAAGACCAAUGUCAACACCUUUCUAUAUACAUCUCAUUUCUCUCUUCUCCUGCUUGGUACAUGCCGUAGUUGUGAACAGAUAUAGAUGGCUUUAGCUAUGUGAGUCAGUGUACAAGGUACAGCUGUAUUAAGCUUUCUCUUGCCCUCCAGAUCUAAUCUCUGUCUCACAUAGAUCAGAGUCAUGGUUGAAGCAUACCAAAACUCCUUGUUGGAUUUUGUGUCCACUAAACAAAAAAUAACCUGUGAGUAUGGACAGGAGGGAGAAAGGCGGAGGACGAAGUUGUUUAAGUUGAUUGAAGUUCCUGCUUUAACUACUGCCAAUAUAUUUUUUCCUGGUGACUCUCACCUGAAAAAUGGUGCCAGAGAAGAUCUCAGGAAACUUAGAGAAGAUGUUUUCCCCUCUAGUCCCUCUCAGCUGAUAGGUAACCUAGCUGUAGCAAGAAGGACAUGGGACAGUUUAACAGAAAUGCCUGAGGAGUGCUUACUGUUAUUGCAGGCACACCCUGCUAUCUAUGAAUGGUAUACUUCUGAGGUAUGUAUCAUGGCUAGUGGGUCAUGAAAAGCACACAAGUUAAAUACACAGGGGCAGGGUAUGCUAUAGGGACAGAGAGGCAGAAGCAAGAUCUUUGGGCUGAUCAAUCAGCCGAAAGCAAAGCUGACUUCUCAUUAGCUGAGUUUCUGGCAGAUGAGGAUGCUGAUUAAAAUGUUGAUUUGCAUUUUAAAACAAAACUUGAGGUACAAUCUAUGUACUGGCCUGAAAUUUUGAGUAAUACCUCACUUUACGAGGUGAGAAUGAAUCUUGUGGUGCCAUGGUGCCUCUUCCAGUACUUGGAGCAGGCCACCACUCUGCAAAAGCUAAUCACUUCACAAAAAUGGAAUGCUUAACACAAAUCUUCUAGUGCACAUGUUCUUGGUGCCUCUUUAUGAGUUGUCAUAUUUUCAUCCUAAUCGUCACCAAUUAUCAUCAAGGUCAAUUAAAUCAAUCAAAGGUGAAGAGCAGAAAAGUGAGAUAGUGGCAACAGUUAGCAGAGUGGUUAGUAAACACUAAAUGCUUUAUGACAAAUCUCAAAAAUGAUGAGUAAGGUACACAAAACCACAGUAAGUGUUUUAUGGUUAUCAAUUGUGCAAACAUUAUGUUUGGUUUUUUUUUUAAUAAGGGGUUAAUAUCAGUCCUCUUACUAGUCCUUCUCACCCUUAGAUGUAUCAAAGAUCACCAGCUUCAUUACUCCAAUAAUCUGUUUUCUGUCUUUACAUUUCCACAAUUACAUUCAAAUUUCCAUGUGAAAUGUAAGACACUAAGAUUUAUCUAUAUAAAAAUUUAUAAGGCCUUCAUUCUCCAUCAGCAGUUUCCUAUUUUGUUCUUAGAUAUUCACACAACAUCUGAAAGCCUUGCAAACAUUAAUGAAUUUAUGCUAUAACCUCCUGGAGAAUUAAAAGAGAAAAGUUAUCUCCAUUUUACAGCUGGAAAAUGGAGUCAGAAAGAUUUUUUUAUGUGCCUGAGGUCUCUCACUGGAUUUUUCAAACUCUGUGUAUAAAGCACAAGACUUUCUUAGCCUCUGAUUUUCUUUGCUUUGGGGAUUCUAGCUUAUUUAAAUUCUAGCCUCUUGAACACUUUUCUCUAGGCCAGAUCCAUGCAAAAACAAUUAUUAACCUCAGCAAAUAUCUGGAAAACCACUUGACCAGAAGAAAGCUAGAGUUUUUAUUGCAUGUUCACUGUCUACUGUAGCUUGCAAGGCAACAGAAAGCAAGCAGAAAACAAACCCUGAAUGUUCUCCAAAAUUCUUUGAAAAUAUAAGCUCAUAGAGAUUUGGAUUUAAUAGAUUUUCUCAUCCUAAUUUUGCCAGGGAUAGAUGUACUAGAAGCUCUUCUAACUGAACUUAUGUUGUUGUUUACACUAUUCAGGUUAUUAGCAUUUUGGCACUUUUUUUUCCUGAAGCUCUCUCCUGCAUAAUUAACCUUGAGUUUUAUAUGGACUACUUUUAUAUAUGGGUUUCAUUUUAUGAGGGCUGGAUUACAUUGUCAUGAUGCCUUGCCUUCUGCAUUGAAUCUACACACCUCAUAAGUCCCCGUUGAUUUAAACACUUCAGAAAAAUGCAACUGGUUGGUUUGUCUAUUUUGUAAGAAGGACAGGAACAGCCAGAUUUGCUGUGCUACUGAAAGGAGUUAAUAUCUGGUAAGCUACAUUGUGCAGUAUUCUAUGCUGCUUCCAGCUCCCAGCCCUCUUGCUAAAGGUUAGUCGCUUGUGCUAUACUUACACAUAACUAUCGUUUGGUAACUCUUUUAUUUGUUUUCCAAUGAUUUAUAUCAAGUUUAGGUGUUUUUUUUGUUUGUUUUGUUUUUUGUUUGUUUGUUUGUUUGUUUGUUUUGUUUUUCUUGGUAAACUGGGGAUGUAACUAUUCCAUAACAUUUACCUUGCAUAAACCUAGUACACUGCAGUUAUACCAUUGUAUGGGUAUUGAUACAAAAGUAGUUUAUUCUCCAUAAGCAGAACAUGCUUGUGAGGAAACCUGGGUAGUAGGACCUUUAUAAUAUGGAAAUCUGCAUUCUGAUGGAACCAGCACAUCUUAUUCCUGAACACACUGAGAGCCAACAGAGUCAGAGGGAUGGAGUAAAACGAAUCAAGAACAAUGAAGUUAUUGGGAAGUUUCUUGAUUCAGGAAGGAGAUCAAUACACACUGCUGUGGACCCUUUUCCAUGUCUCUUGGCUUAGAGAACCACAGGGAAUUGAAACUUUUGAUGGAGCCUUUGGCAGGAAAUCUGAGAGAAAAAAAACAUGGAGAAGUCUCCCUCCCAUAAAAUUGCUGCUCCAAGGAGUAUAUGUCUUAGAUUCUCUGUUACAUAUACCUAUUUCACAUUAUGGAACUACUCAUGACUUACUGGAUUUAUUACUGACUUCCUCAGAAAUAAGGAAAGUUAGUUUUGGGUUUAUUAUAUCUUGACAUGAAGCAGUCUGUCAGUGAUAAGGCUGAAGGACAGAGUUUAGGACUUCUGUAAUUUAUCCUAUAUUUUUUCCAAGCUUAUUCAAUAUAUAGGAUCUUGGACAUCCAGAAAGUGGAAAAUCUCACACAACACCAGUGUUGGUACUAUGUGAUAUCUCACUCUGAGCAACCUGAUCUGUCUUCAAAAUAGGUCCUGUUUUUAGCAGGGGUUUGGACCAAGAAUUGUUUGGUGACUCUGUGUUCCUGCUCCCUGCUCACUGUAAAGCUAUAACUAUGGAGAGCCAGGUCCAUGGCUUUCCAUAUGCCCAUGUUUCCCAGUGCUUUGAAUUCCAGAACUAUAUGCAGCACCAUUUUCCAGGUGAGGCUCUACACUGGUCGUGCUCUACACCCUGAGCAACAAGGUACUGUCAGUGGCAAUUUUUGCUCCCACCAGCAGUCAGAGAUGCUGCCAUCUUUACCACCAAAUCCUUGAGGUCUCAUACAAACCAUAAGUUAAUAAACCAAACCGCACCUGUAGUUCUUCAGUCUGGAGGCCACUGAUUACACAAUGUUUUGUUACGGACUCCCGGUUCUGGGAAAGGAUUUCAAGGCUGCCUGUCUUUCAUGAAGCCAAAUAAAGUCCUGGACAGAUUAUUAGUUCAGACAGGUCGUCACAUAAAAAGCAUGACACUAAUACUAGGCCAAAGACAGUUGUGGAAGCAGUACAGCUGUGUUUUUGUGGUGCUGAGUCAGCCAAUGCCCGCUGUACAGUUAAUCUGCUCAAGGAGAUGACUGUACAUCACAAAGAAGUGGAAGUUUCAGGUGCAUGCUGUUCAUUGACAUUUGCAGGAUUUGCAACUCCAGUAGCAGUCACUGGGUGAAAAUGAAGCAAUUUGCUUUAAUAAUGCAGAUGCCAAAAUAGUAAAAUAUACAGGACAAUUAUAUUGGGAAACUCUCAUCAUAAAUUUUAUUUAUUUUUCGUAUUGUGGCGUUGUUUGAACAGUGUAUUUCCCACAUUUGAGGAAGAUGAUAAACAGAGUAACUGAGCUGAAGCUAAAUAUUUCAUAAAUCCAUCUUUCAACAAGGUAAUAUGUCAUCAAUUCAGGCACUGGAACAAGUAACAUCGUUAAAUGUUAUGGCACACUUCAUCCAGUUCCUCCACAAAAUCAUUUUCUUAAUACUGUGGUUGUAAAGGAAGUUAGUAUCAAUCAGUCAAACAUAGACAUACACCAUUCUAAUUGUAUAUUUUGUCAAUAUCAUAAAACUGGUAUGCUUGAUGCCUUAGCAACUAUGUAUGCAAAGUAUAGCAGAAAUAUUUUGUCUUCCUUACAUAAGGAUAAUAUCGCCUAUUUCAUUCAUCUACAACUCAGACUACUCGUUGCCCUAAAAGUGAUGAGGAAGUCUGAGUAGAAUAUGCUAAAGAAGUGGAGAGGUAAGCCAGGGGAAGCAGAUGACAUCAUCCCACCGGGGACUGGACCUGGGUGAAAUAACUUCUUGAGUUUCCUACCAGACAGGAAGGUUCCACAAAACCACAGCAACACUUGGGAAUUGACACUGAUCUGAUUUUUUUUUUAUCUGAUGCUAAAGAAGAUGUGCAGAGAUACAAGUCAGCAUCCUGAACUUCAUGGAGAGUAGAAUUAGGAAGAAAAUAAUUGACAAUGUAAGUGAAAAGAGAAAAUACUACAGAAGUCUUUAUAUAAAAUAUAGUGUCCCUUUCUAGAAAUAAUUUGUGUCAUACUUUUAUGACUCACGUAAAUGUUUUUAAUGUUGACAUGUACUAAUGAUACUAUUACUAAAGCUGAAGAGAAGACCUAAUUUUCUUCUGAACUGUAGUCAGCCCAGAUGUUUCUAAUGAGUGUUGUGCUUUGUUAUAUCAUUAAUUAUUUAAAAAGUUUGUGAACAUAUCUGUUUCUCCAUUUACCCACUGAUUUAUUAAUUGCUCUAAGUAAUUUCCCUAUUACUGUUUGAGAAACUGUGGGAAUUGUCCUAAACAAAAUAAACCCUCUGAGUAAUCUUUCACAUUCUUUUGUGAGGAUUUAUGGGAUCUCUCCUAGGUGAAAAUGAACAUUUUCUGUAACCAUGGGCAGAGUAGGGCGAUGACUAAACCAGUUAAAGCACAGAUUUGAUCUGGCUUACAAUUAUCUGUAUGGUUUAACCAUUAAUACUGGAAGUAAAUAAGCCCCAAGGCAGAGUUUUGGUUCAUUUGCACUACCUGGGAUAGUACCCAGGAGCCCUUUGUGGGAUAACAUGGGCCAGAGACCAUUCCCUACAUGGGUAAGGCCCCACAGUUUAAUAGGAUGAGGGAUCCUAGCUGACCUGUUUGCUCUCAAGCUCACAAUGCAGAGCUCCCACUGCAUGCCUGGGCAAUGCACUGACUCAUGGCCAUGCUGCUGAAGCAGAAAGUCAGAUUGGAAGCUGCAAGGGUUAAACAGUACGGUUUGCUAAGCCACACCUGAGGGUGAGUCAGUCAGGAGAUGUCAGCAACAGUAAAUGAGUUGAUCACAGUCAAUCUCAGAUGCUUCUGAAUCAGUUGGGCACUCUCCUGUGCCAGCUCAGGGAUUGCAAUAUGUAUGAUGGGCAUAGAAUGGCAUUGCAUGAGCAAGUGGUUGUUCCAGGCAUAAUAGAGUCUCCUGUUAUAGACAGCUCCCAGUAUGUAAAAAGAGAGCUAGGAAGAGUCCUUAGCUCCUGAAAGUGUUGGUAGCUCUUAAUAAUCCUGUUCUGAGUGGGAUUUUCAAGACAACUGCUCUCUGGCACCUCCCUGUAGUUCCCAGAAGUCAUCUGCCACUCCCCUGCCUCAGCCUAGGGUUAACACCGAUCUUGUAUUUUCUCUCCAUCCUGCCCAAAAUAUUUCUUAAGGUUCCCUUUUUGUUGCCACAUGUAAAUCUAAAAAGAGUGCCUCAGAAUCAAUGUAAGUUUUUAAUGUAAAUACAGGGUCUGCACAUAGCAAAAGAGAGAGAAAAGUAGAAGAAAAGAAGAAAGGAAAGCAAGCAGGACCACGACUCCUCUCACUGCAAAACUUAAGAACAAUUCUCCUCACUUUACUCACAUGAGAAAGGGAAAUUCUCUCACACACCUACACCCUCUCGCAGUCUUUCUUCUAUCUGUUUUUCUGAUGCUCUCGGAGUCCUCUGUCUUUACUCAGUCAUCCUUGCCAUAAGUUUCUUUACAUUGUAAUAGGGUAAAUCUUCCAGAUUCUGAGGGACCCUUUUGCCAGAGGAACUCCUGGAUACACGCUCCUAUUUUAUGAAAUUGAGGGCUGCUAAAUUAACUGGGGACUGACUACAGAUAUGAUUCUUCGUUCAUAGCAGAAAUCCUGUUUUACCAACAGCUAUUUUUAAGGAAACCUAUUACAAUAUACAUGUAGUUGUACAUUCAUAUUCUUGUAUUUUAUUUUCUGUCAAAAAAGACUCCAAGUUCAAGAAUAUCAUGAUCUCUGUGUGUGUACCACAUUGGGAAUUUGAACCUUAGCCUACUCACCUGCUACCCUCCUUAGGGAUCCCAAAGAUAUAGGCACUAUUUAAAUCAAUUUUCCCAAACCAUUUUCAUUUUUCACUCUCUCUGUGCACAUGGCUCUUAGUCACAUGCAAAAGCCACACAUGUACCAGUCUGAAAUGAUGAGUCAAGGCCUGUUUUAUUGACAAGCAGAGAUGUCCUCGGUCACUCAAUUUCUGCUGGCAGCUCUUGUCAUCUGCAGCAUGCCAGUCAGUUGGACAGUCCUCAGAAGUUCUUUAACUUAUGACCAAGUAUAGAGAUAAGAAGAGGCAGGGUUGAGAAAAUUAGGAGAUGGGACCUACCUGUUUUGCAGAGGAGGGAGGCUGCCCAGAAGGACUAUUAUCUGACUUUCGGGUAGUAGCAGUGCUUAUGUUUGAAGUGUGUGUGAUUCUAUAACCCACUCCCCAAAUGAAGUCACAGCAGGGAUAAGACUCAAGGCACAUGCUGUGAGCAGCAGGAGAAGCAGCGUUACCCUAGCGUGUGCAUGGCCGAAUGCAACAACCCGCUUCAGUGAGGUGACCUGGACAGGACAGUGAGAUUUGCACCUGUGGACAGGUCUAACCUUCACUCGCCACACUGCACACCCUAGUUAUGGGUUGAAAAAAUGUUUUUGAGCUUUUCUUCUCCUCUGGUGUGGUACAUGCUUACUGGGUAAUGUCUGAUCUCUGUGGUAUCAUGACCUAUCUCGGGGUAAAUUUUGGCCUUUGGCUUGACAAAUCAUGACUGUUUUUUGAACUUUAUUACAAUAAAGUUACAUCAGCUCACCUACACUGGCUUCUUGCACUGUGCUAGGAAAAAGUUCAACAAGAGCUGAAACUAUCUCUCCAGCCUAGGUUUGAACUUGAUUUUAAAUACAAAUAUCUCUCCUUUUCAGCAUAGUCAGGAAAGACAGGGUCAUCUUUAUACCUGAUAUCUCAAGCAAAGCUGUGGAUAAAUAUCAAAGAUGUUAAGGAAAGGCAAACAUAUCCCUUUUAUGUUUGUGGGCAGCAUUAAUGACACAGGGUGAAAUUUAUCCUCUUAUCAAAGGUCAACACAAAGCUAGGCACUACUUCAAAGGUGCAUUGAUCCCAUAACUGGCUCCUGGCACUGAACUGGAUUUCACCAAAUUCCAAAACUUACAAGAACCAAUAGAUUUUAUUUAUCUGUGUAAAAAAUAAUGGAGUGUGUUCAGAUACAGGCACAUAUAAAAAUUCACACCAGCUAUUUUGAUUUUGCUGGGACAAUGUAUUGGUUUUUAUCUUGUGCUCACAUAUUUUGGACAGUUCUUUCUAGCCAGCUGUCCCUCCCUCCCACUUAAUCAGUCAAAACAUCCCUGCUCUUCAAAACUACAAAAUAUUUACUCAGACUUUGUGUUUACUAGGAAUAAGCUGACAGUCCAGAAACUGAGUAUUUAGUAGUGCACAUACUGCUUGGUUUGAAGGGGAAAGCAAGAGUGAAGGCUCUGUCAAAGCCAUUCUUUCAGAUCUUAGUGAAUAACUAACACAAUGUUUCCUACCACAUUCAGUCAAUGCUCAAAGAUACCAAAAAGGUCUUGCAGACAGGGAAAACAUGACAGGCAAGGAACAGGGCAGCAAAGCCAAUACAAGAGGAAGUUAAAAAGUUGUGCCUUUUCAUUAGUGAUCACAUGCAUAAAUGUGUCACUGCACAAGAGGCACGGGAUUUUUACAUUGGAAGUAUGAUCGUGCUGCAUGUGAACAUAUAGAUUGCAAAUACUGUAGAAGAAGAUAUGGCAUCUGCAUUUGGUACUUUUUUAUUUCUUUUGUAAUUUCUUUGGUGGCUGUAUUUGAGCAGGGUGUGCCAAUAUUUGCAGUCUGGGGAACAACAUCAGAACAUCUAGUAUUCCCGUCUACUAGUAAAAAUAACGAGAACACUUCAGUUAAUUCAGUGUACCUUCAUGUGUAUUAGUCACUGGUCCCUGUGCGCACUAAUUAUAGACUGCCUUGAUGAUGCAACUGCAGGGCACAAAACAAAGAUUUUACAAAAGUUGUUUUGGUAUAUCUUUUUUUCUUACUAGGCUAAUGGAGAAGCUGCUUUAGGCACACAUCCGUGAUUGAAUCUGUCCUGUUCUCAGAACGUGACUGUGAAAGUUAAUACGAUUACAGUGGCAUCAGCUGCGAUAGAUUAGGUGAUGCUUUGCUCAGUAUAGGUAAACCUACCUGAUAGCGUGUUCUUCUUUUAGUCCUGAGAAAAUCAGAUUUAUUUUUUUUUUUUGAUCUGCAGUAGUAAGAUAUGAAGAAUCUUUAUAUAACCGAGCUGCAUUUUUUUAACCUAAGUUGCUCUAAAUGUUUAACCAAGGGCAGCUAAAUCCUGUGUACUAUGGUUCACUGUACAAGUUAUAAUUUAUUAAACUGUUAUAUUCACAAGGUUAAGUCAGAAUUCCCAUGUUCAGUCAUGUACAUGAUUGCUUUGGGGUGUUCCAAUAGGUCAAACUCUGACAGUGUCAAGCAUAAUUAUCUCCUGAAUAUAUUCACAGCUUCUGCAAAAGCCAAUAUUUGGUUUUGCCUUAUUUGAAGAGUGUAUUCAUUAGUUUGCAACCCUAUGUGAGGCUUUCUAAGCUUCAGCUGAAUUACUAAAAUCUGCAAAAAACACAGAUUCCUUGAAGAUGUUAUGACAUACAGCACUUUGAAGAAAAAUUGUGUAUUUCCAUUAAAAAUUCAAGACAUACAGUUCAUUUUUGCACACUGAUGCAGCUAUCUGUAUGAGUUUGAGCCCAUGGUGGUAAAUACACAGUAAUGCACAUUAGCUUGUUUUUCUGAGUUAGUGGUUUUAUCCAUAUAUGAUAAAUUUAUAAUCACCCACUUUAUAAUUCAUUUGGAGUUUAUAAAAUGUGACUACUGAUGUUCUCCACCAGUGGAGUGGAUGGUUCCGAUAUAUCAGGUAUUAUCUAAUGUGAAAUAUCAAUAACAUAACUGAAGAAUUAAUACUACAAUAAGUGAGACAUCUGGAAACAGUAUGUUAACAAGCUGAAGGCCAAGGCACAUGGCUGAACGCAGUUGAGCUGCAGUAAGCUAACAAUUUGUCAUCUGUCUAUUGAGUCAACAUAACUGACCUUGCGUCUGCCCAGGCUCUGGAGAAAAGCGUAUUAAUGUAAAGCUCUUUGACUGACUUCUUGUCUGCCAAUUGAAGAAAUACUGUUUCUUUCCCAAACUUUAUUAAUUCAUUCUCUGCUAUAACAGUAAGCAUGUAUUAAUAAUUAUUAAUAAAUAAAUAACAUCUUUGUGCUGAAAUAGUUACUUGCUACCUGUGUAGUAGCUUGAUUCUGGCAGCUUGUGAUCUUUGUUCCUUUCACUGAGAGGCAACCACAGCUACUUUGAAGGAAGGCGUCUUUUGAGCUCAAGCUCCAGUUGAUACCACACACAAUGUUAUUUGUGAAAAAAAACGUAGCAAUCCUCCUUAUUUAUUUUUAGCCCAAACUGUUGUAUCAGUUCUGCUCAGUCUGCAUCUUUAAUUCUUUUAUAGAAAGGUGAUUUAAAAAAUAAAUUUAUCAAAACAAAAAGUCUGACAGAUAGACUAGAAAAUAAAUUAAGUUAAUAUAUAUUUUAAUAAAAUAAACAACAACAACGAAAACCAAACACAAAUAUAUAGGCAAAUAUUUAAAAAAAAUGCAUAGAAAUUUUCAGUAGAAUAAAGAUCUAGCACUGUAUGAAACUCUGAAAUGGCACUGGUAUAAGAAGAAAAGUCAGUUACAAAAGUCACAUAAACCUAUUUAUUUCAGAAUGCCAGUAAACACAGAUUAAUUUCUGGCUUCCAUCUAGCUGUUGACAUUCCUUAAGAAAACAAAAAGGAAAAAGUGAAUAAGGACCCUUUCCCUAUCACUAAAGGGUAGUGACAUCUGUAAAACAUGAGUAGACGCCUAUGAAAUAUCAUCAGAAUUAGGGUGUGUGAGGAUGGGGCAGGCCAGGAUGGGGCAGUGAGCAAGCAGGGAUCAGGUCGCUCCAGGGUUAGAAAUGUGCAGGGUGGGCUCAGCAGGGAGGAUGGGGAGCAACCCCAUGGGUGGGUGGGACACGCUUUCUGGGAGAGAUACUGGGAGCAGGGAGGAGCUGGUUUUACUGAACUAUGCAAAACUUCCUCCAGUGAAACCCCACAUAAACAUAUGAGGUAUGUUUGGCAUGUGGUCAGAAAUCUGAGUGAUCACAACUAAAUUUGUUUGGAAAGUAGAAAUCCAUUUGGCUUAAUAAAAUAGCUUGGAAAAUAUUUGACUUUUGAUUUGGGUUAAAAAGUAAAAUGAACAAUCCUCCCUCCUCCUGCUCCCAACAUUACAUGUAUUUUUUAUUUACUUCAGCAGAAAAAGAUUUCUUUAAAAAAAUAGUGUUUACUGGGAGUUCUGUCUUGCCAGUUGUCUGCCUGCCCAGAAAGUACUGCUCACUUUCCUCUUCCUUUCCAUAAGUGAAAUUAUUAGUCUUCGACUGGGGUUACUAGCAGUUAAAUGUGAAGUCUUUUUGUCCUUCUGCUCCUUUUUGCUGAUGCUGAGGGGGUUUCAUCAGCUUUGAGGCUUUCCCCAAAGGUUGAAAUACAGAGGGUUAUAACGUGGGUAGCUGUAGCUCUCUUCUCAGUAACAGAACAGAAAAAUGAAAAUAGCCACUGGAAAAUUCAGUUUUAUAGGACAGACAGUUUCUGUUUUGAUGAAAAUAACCUUGAUGAAAAAUUCCCAGCUAGCUCACCCCUCAAGUCCUCUCCAAAUAUGUCAGAUAUUCCAUUUAGAUAUUUACAUCUGAUAUCAUAUACCACAGCAGGAUGGAAGCUGACUCUCUGCAAAGUUUAGCUUUUACAUUAAAUUAUGUAUUUUAAUGCUAGAAUGCCCCUUGACUCAGUAGUAUAGUGAUGAUUCAAGAGCAGCAAAUUAUCAUGAAGGUAAUGUAGUAGUAACAUUUUGUGACAUUUGCCAUCUUAUUUUUGGUUACAUCAGGAAAGGACAAUAUAUCUAUGUUCUUCUGAGUAAUUGUUUUUUUUUUUUUUAAUUGCAUCUGAUGCUUCACUCAUUAGCCUCUGAGCUUCCUGAGAGGACAGAUAAGAAGUUUUUACAUUUUGUUUGGAAUUUAAAUAUGCUAGAUAUUCAAAUGGUAUACAGACACCCAGUCAUACAGGUGUGUGUGCUUGUGUGUCUUUACUUUUGUAUAAAAGAACUGCAAAUCUUUUCACAGAAAUUCCAGUCAAUGAAAUUUAUAUCAAAUAUUUGAACUUCUUCUAUUUUUCAAAACAUCCUUUCUACAAAUGCUGGAGUUCGGGUUUCAGAAUAAUUUAUUUUUAAACCUUGCUUUAGGUACAUGAAAUAGCUCUUCUCUCUGCUAGAAGGCUGGCCAAGAAGACUAUCUUACCCCUUCCUCUCCAAAAUACAUUACUAUGAUUAACAUAAAGAAUUUUUCUCUUCAAAUGUCAAAACAAUGUAUCUAAUAUUUUCCUCCCCUGUCUAUAACCUCUCUCUUCUCUAAUUUUUUACUGAGUUUACAAACUCAAUUUUAAUAGGGGAAAUUUUCAGUCAAAAACUGUAGUCUGUUCUUUUUUUAAAGAGAUAAUGUUCUCAAGGACAGAAGUCAGUAACAAAGGUUACAGAAACCAGGAGAGAAAAAGGGCUGAAGUGGAAACGGGAAAAUAAUCAAUAAAACAGUUAUCAACUAAGAAAGGGCACUGCAUGAAAGGAGAGUAGAGGUUCACUUCCCUUUGGGAUAAGGGAGAGUAAGAAGAGAAAAACAUGAACAUGAACAGGCCCAUAGGAGCCCAUAAAAUAAUUUGUGGUUAAAAGAGCCUAUGGCUCACAACUGAAGUAUCCGAAGGCUAAAAUUAGUAAUAGAGCAGAGACAUGACUGUGAGCAUAAUGCCAGCGAUGAACUGCAGCAAGAAGAGCAACUAAACCUCUGAAACACUAGAGAAGUGUUUUGCUUGGAUUUUUCUGUUUUGUCCUGGAGUGACAGAGCUUUUUUGAGUGAAAGAAUCAUCACAAUGAAUCAUCAGCAUAUACCAAGUCAACCAUGUGAGAGAGAUGGGAAACCAAGAGACAGACAGCUUGAUACUGAAAUGAUAAAUAGUCUUCUUCCUCCACUUUCAGUAUACUAUUCUCUCUAUCCUCAGAGUGGACUAACUUUCUUAGGUCUGUACUUUUUAGGAAGCAGUAGUGCUACUUUAGCCUUUAAUUCAGUGUCGCUUCAUGUACAUAGCACAAAUUUGGGUAGCAACAGAUCAAUAUUGUCAGUGUCUUGUCUUCCUUAUUAGAAGAUACUUUUGUCAGGAAGAUGAUGAUGCAAUUGAAGAAAUGUAUUCAUCAAAACACAGACACAUAUGAUUUAGAUAAAGGGAGGAGAAUUGGUUUUUUUCCUUAAAAAAACCAGCACAUCUGCUUACAUGCAGUGACUGGCCAAUAUACACAUAUCAUCCUAUAUAUUUGAAGAUAACAAUAAAGAUUUAUGAUCUAAUUCUGUAAGUCUGUGUCAGACUGCAAUAAAUUUAGAAACAAUUUGCUUUGAUAACUAACUGGAAAAUUAGUGUAAUUCUUAACAAGAAAGAGCAUGUUUAUAACAGAAACAUGCUGUGAUAAAAUACUGUAAGAACUAAAUAUCCUGGAAAGAAUUUUAAUUCUUAUAAAGAUAAGUAAUUGGUGGAAUGCUAAUUCUCUGUUUACUAGGAAUGACUGUGCACCUCAACUACAUACCAAAUGUCUUGAGGAGUCUGAUAGUAUUUUUACAGGAAAGCAUAUGAUUUUUUUUUCAGAUGUGUGAACAUAAUUUGUUAAGUAAAGACACAUAAGGAAAAAGAAUAUUAUGUUGUGAAACAUGGCCCCACAAUUUCAUAAAGAACUGUUAUGAUUAAAACACUGGAACAUGUCUAGCAGUGCUGGAGUCAUUGCAAUCAGAUAUUAGACAGGCGAAUAACUCUGCAAGAAGAAAAGGACGUCAAUAAUUUGGUGGUCAAUAAGUAUUUCCAGAAUUACAAAUGGAACUAUUUCAGUCUACAGUAAUAAUUUUUAAAAAGAAACUAAAAUGAAACAUUUCUGAGGGAUAUAAACCAGUUACACACUAAUGAUGUAGGAAAAAACAUCAUCUGAAUUUCAGAUAAAUCCAAAAGUUCAUAACAUGUAACUGGGUGAACGAAGGGUGGAACAAAAUAGCUGCUGAGUAACUAUCUCUUUUUCUCUUGUAUUAAAGAAGAGACCAAAACACAUGAGCUGUUAAACUGAUAAAUGAAAAAAAAAAAAAAAAAGAAAGGAAAAAGAAAAAGAAAAAGAAAAUAGUCACAGUUGGAAAACAGGAAAAGACUGUGGGGUUAGAUUACAUUUCCAGGAUGAUAAGCACAUAAUUCCUUUUUAUAUACAAUGAUACUAAUUUUCAUGGCAUUAGACAUAAUAUUUCUUAACUUUCAAAUAAUAUUACUGUUCGAUAAAAAAUGUAGUUUGACAUAAAAAUGAAUAGUUCAAGCAUGAUUGUGCAAAAGAUGGAAAUAUGAUUUCAGUAAAUUCGGAAUUUCAUUUCAGGGACUACCUUGUUUUGUUUCAAUGAUAGAUUUACGAGUUUCAAAAGCUGAUUUUGUUUUCCCAUUCGCUAUUCCAAUAAUGUACACUAUUACACAGAAUCACACAGAAUCGACUGGGUUGGAAAAGACCUCAGAGAUCAUCGAGUUCAACCCUUGGUCCAACUCUAGUCCGUUUACUAGAUCAUGGCACUAAAUGCCAUGUCCAAUCUCAGUUUAAAAACCUCCAGGGACGGCGAGUCCACUACCUCCCUGGGCAGGCCAUUCCAAUGCCUGACCACUCUCUCUGUAAAGAAUUUCUUUCUAAUAUCCAGCCUAACUUUCCCCUGGUAGAGUUUAAGCCCAUGCACCCUUGUCCUGUUGCUAACUGCCUGGGAAAAGAGACCAAUCCCCACCUGUCUAUAACUUCCCUUCAGGUAGUUAUAGAGUUAAACAUAAUUUUACAUAUUUUAUCAGAAGCUUUCAUUUGGGGGAGAAUUUCAUAGAAAUAUGACACUAAUUUUUACAGAAAUACAGGAAAAAACCCAGGAUUCCAUUGUUUACACUACUGGUGAGUUCUGUGAAUCUGGUAUAAACUUCUGGACGGUUAAAUAUGCUAAAAUUCUUCCAAAUAAAUCCAUUAACAUUUUUAUAAACUAUAGAUUGUCCCUAAUUACAAUUGUUCUCUUGCCAUUAAGUGAUCACACACUCUCCAUGAAGGCUUUGUCUUCUGUGUCAUGAAAAUGUUCAUUUUCCUGACAAACCAGAACAGGGAUAUGUACUAUUGGACUCAUCCAGUACAAAAUUACAGCAUUAACCACAUCACUCAGGGGCUUUUUGGUCUGCCAGUCCAUCCUGAGGAGCUCUAGGGGCUUUUUGAACUCACACAGUCCAUGCGUUGUGACA
Molecule: long non-coding RNA, 33174 nt
Organism: Columba livia (rock pigeon)
Lineage: Eukaryota; Metazoa; Chordata; Aves; Columbiformes; Columbidae
Exons: 4
Source: RefSeq, a predicted model, not a curated record